UACGAAGGGUGCGAGCGUUGUUCGGAAUUACUGGGCGUAAAGGGUUCGUAGGCGGAAUUGUAAGUCAAGUGUGAAAUCCCCGAGCUUAACUUGGGACGUGCAUUUGAAACUAUAAUUCUUGAGUGAUGGAGAGGGUGGUGGAAUUGUUGGUGUAGGAGUGACAUCCGUAGAGAUCAGCAGGAACAUCAGAGGCGAAAGCGACCACCUGGCCGUAUACUGACGCUGAGGAACGAAAGCGUGGGGAGCAAACAGG
This 253-nucleotide ribosomal RNA is filed under the name uncultured bacterium. RNAcentral's name for it is "partial 16S ribosomal RNA". It matches the Rfam family "Bacterial small subunit ribosomal RNA", at positions 524 to 776 of the family's 1533-position model. The record is from RNAcentral.